RNAcentral lists this ribosomal RNA (145 nucleotides) under uncultured bacterium. RNAcentral's name for it is "partial 16S ribosomal RNA". It matches the Rfam family "Bacterial small subunit ribosomal RNA", at positions 389 to 524 of the family's 1533-position model. The record is from RNAcentral.
CAGCCAUGCCGCGUGUGUGAAGAAGCGCCUUUUGGUUGUAAAGCACUUUAAGUGGGGAGGAGGCUUACCUGGUUAAUACCUGGGCUAAGUGGACGUUACCCACAGAAUAAGCACCGGCUAACUCUGUGCCAGCAGCCGCGGUAAU